GUGUCAGAAAUGAUGAAUAUCUUCAUGUCUGACUCUUUGGUGAAGAGAUUGUUUUGAUAUCUGAUCUUCCUGGACUC
RNAcentral lists this small nucleolar RNA (77 nucleotides) under Sinocyclocheilus rhinocerous. RNAcentral describes it as "Small nucleolar RNA SNORD111 (ENSSRHG00000041933.1)". Lineage: Eukaryota; Metazoa; Chordata; Actinopteri; Cypriniformes; Cyprinidae. The record is from RNAcentral.